RNAcentral lists this ribosomal RNA (467 nucleotides) under uncultured bacterium. Its description in RNAcentral is "partial 16S ribosomal RNA". It matches the Rfam family "Bacterial small subunit ribosomal RNA", at positions 29 to 507 of the family's 1533-position model. The record is from RNAcentral.
ACGAACGCUGGCGGCGUGCUUAACACAUGCAAGUCGAACGGAAAGGCCCUGCUUUUGUGGGGUGCUCGAGUGGCGAACGGGUGAGUGACACGUGAGUAACCUGCCCUUGACUUUGGGAUAACUUCAGGAAACUGGGGCUAAUACCGGAUAGGAGCUCCUGCUGCAUGGUGGGGGUUGGAAAGUUUCGGCGGUUGGGGAUGGACUCGCGGCUUAUCAGCUUGUUGGUGGGGUAGUGGCUUACCAAGGCUUUGACGGGUAGCCGGCCUGAGAGGGUGACCGGCCACAUUGGGACUGAGAUACGGCCCAGACUCCUACGGGAGGCAGCAGUGGGGAAUAUUGCACAAUGGGCGGAAGCCUGAUGCAGCAACGCCGCGUGCGGGAUGACGGCCUUCGGGUUGUAAACCGCUUUCGCCUGUGACGAAGCGUGAGUGACGGUAAUGGGUAAAGAAGCACCGGCUAACUACGUG